This is a small nucleolar RNA of Chelonoidis abingdonii (Abingdon island giant tortoise), 67 nucleotides long. Its record names the gene SNORD58. It matches the Rfam family "Small nucleolar RNA SNORD58". From Rfam's summary of the family: snoRNA U58 is found in introns 1, 3 and 6 of the ribosomal protein RPL17 gene in humans. U58 is a member of the C/D class of snoRNA which contain C (UGAUGA) and D (CUGA) box motifs. Lineage: Eukaryota; Metazoa; Chordata; Testudines; Testudinidae. The record is from Ensembl.
CUGCAGUGAUGACUUUCUUAGGACACCUUUGGAUUAAUCAUGAAAAGAAAAUGGAGUUCUGAGCAGC